UACGUAGGGGGCAAGCGUUGUCCGGAUUUAUUGGGCGUAAAGAGCGUGUAGGCGGCUUUGCAAGUCCGUUGUGAAAACUCGAGGCUCAACCUCGAGACGCCGGUGGAAACUGCAAAGCUAGAGUCCGGAAGAGGAGAGUGGAAUUCCUGGUGUAGCGGUGAAAUGCGCAGAUAUCAUGAAGAACACCCGUGGCGAAGGCGGCUCUCUGGGACUGUACUGACGCUGAGACGCGAAAGCGUGGGGAGCGAACAGG
This 253-nucleotide ribosomal RNA is filed under the name uncultured bacterium. RNAcentral describes it as "partial 16S ribosomal RNA". It matches the Rfam family "Bacterial small subunit ribosomal RNA", at positions 524 to 776 of the family's 1533-position model. The record is from RNAcentral.